Molecule: transfer RNA, 69 nt
Filed under: Halosimplex pelagicum
Lineage: Archaea; Methanobacteriati; Methanobacteriota; Halobacteria; Halobacteriales; Haloarculaceae
Description: tRNA-Glu
Rfam family: tRNA
About the family: Transfer RNA (tRNA) molecules are approximately 80 nucleotides in length. Their secondary structure includes four short double-helical elements and three loops (D, anti-codon, and T loops). Further hydrogen bonds mediate the characteristic L-shaped molecular structure. tRNAs have two regions of fundamental functional importance: the anti-codon, which is responsible for specific mRNA codon recognition, and the 3' end, to which the tRNAs corresponding amino acid is attached (by aminoacyl-tRNA synthetases). tRNAs cope with the degeneracy of the genetic code in two manners: having more than one tRNA (with a specific anti-codon) for a particular amino acid; and 'wobble' base-pairing, i.e. permitting non-standard base-pairing at the 3rd anti-codon position.
Source: RNAcentral
GCCGGCAUCGCUCAACUGGCAGAGCACCGCUCUCGUACGGCGUUGGGUGUUCGAGUCACCCUGCCGGCU